GUGCUCACUUUGGCAGCACUUAGACUACAGCUGGAAGGAGACAGAGAUGAUCAGCGUGGCCCCUGCGUGAGGAUGACGUGCAAAUUCAUGAGGCGUUCCAUAUUUAA
Hippopotamus amphibius kiboko is the source of this 107-nucleotide small nuclear RNA. The record is from RefSeq and is a predicted model, not a curated record. Lineage: Eukaryota; Metazoa; Chordata; Mammalia; Artiodactyla; Hippopotamidae.